CAGCAGCCACGGUAAUACGUAGGGUGCAAGCGUUAAUCGGAAUUACUGGGCGUAAAGCGUGCGCAGGCGGUUCUAUAAGACAGAUGUGAAAUCCCCGGGCUCAACCUGGGAACUGCAUUUGUGACUGUAGAGCUGGAGUGCGGCAGAGGGGGAUGGAAUUCCGCGUGUAGCAGUGAAAUGCGUAGAUAUGCGGAGGAACACCGAUGGCGAAGGCAAUCCCCUGGGCCUGCACUGACGCUCAUGCACGAAAGCGUGGGGAGCAAACAGGAUUAGAUACCCCUGUAGUCCCUGUCUCUUAUAC
This 301-nucleotide ribosomal RNA is filed under the name uncultured bacterium. RNAcentral's name for it is "partial 16S ribosomal RNA". It matches the Rfam family "Bacterial small subunit ribosomal RNA", at positions 509 to 807 of the family's 1533-position model. The record is from RNAcentral.